This is a non-coding RNA of Pelobates cultripes (western spadefoot toad), 226 nucleotides long. NCBI's taxonomy places the organism in Eukaryota, Metazoa, Chordata, Amphibia, Anura, Pelobatidae. The record is from the annotation of a GenBank genome assembly.
CUGGAGGACAGAAGCUGAUCCAGGUUGGACAGAAGACGGCGAGACUCCAGUUAAGCUACGGCGGUUGUGGAGUCUGCGGUGGUUGUGGUGUCCGGUGCAGUGCUUGUGGUCCUCGGCGCAAGCUAGGAAGCGUCCAUCAACGGUGGGUACUCGGUCGGAGUACGGGGAACUCCGUUACAGAGUGUGUGGCUAGGGGCUUCGGGACCCCUACCUACCAGGAGGGGGG